UUUUAUUUUGGGACCGGACACAUUAUUAUAUAAAGAGGAUCUGUGAGUGUUACUUGGUCUUGUAAGCUAUUUUUUUUUUUCGGCAAAAUGUUGUGAGCACCUACCAUAUGCCAGCCACUGUUCUGUGAACUGGUUGUACGGGAGUGAAUGAGAUCAUCUUGAUUUUGAGAAGUUUAUCAUCUACUCAAGGGAAACACAUGUAAUAAACUAUGUUUUAGACAUAACCCCUCAAAACCAAAGCGGAACCUCUUCAAGGAGCUGACAGAUGCAAGCCUGGAGGAGAAAAGCCGGGCAGCAUCAAACUCCUCCCACUGGAGCAGCCUGCUGAGCAUCUCCCUGGCCUUGGCCCCUGGCCAUGCCACACAAGUGUCCAAUGAGCCACUGAUCCUGAAGAACAAGAGAAGACUGACCGCAGACCCCAAAAGGAAGCAGGAAUACAACCUUCGAAGUUGGUGGCCAACAAGAGGUCAGAGGUUGACAAGUACCCACACAGCUCUAAGACUAGUAUCAUGUGGCUACCCAGGACCUGGGAGCAGUGCUGCAGAGCAGGAGCAGGAAAGGGACCAGCUGUUCCCAUAGAACUUCACGUCACAGGUCUGGGAGCCAGGGGGCCUUGGUUCUAGUCCCAACUCUCCCUCUAAGUUGUCUUAUGGCCACAGGUGAAUGAAAUAGCUUCUCUGGCCUCAGCUUCCUCAUAAUUAAAAUGACACAGUUGUGCAAAA
RNAcentral lists this long non-coding RNA (722 nucleotides) under Pongo abelii (Sumatran orangutan). RNAcentral describes it as "lincRNA". Lineage: Eukaryota; Metazoa; Chordata; Mammalia; Primates; Hominidae. The record is from RNAcentral.